CAAUUUCCCAUCACCUAUUCACGCCGCUAACUCAUCACCUUUUCUCAUUCAUUCUGAUCUCCUCUCAUUUUAUUUUUCUCUUGGGGCAAAAAAUGCUCCAUUCUCUUUCCUCCAAUCAACGAUGUCAACGAAGGCGAAGAACCUUCUUCCGACACUGAAGACAGAGAAAGAGAAGGUCCUAGUUGGAGUUGGAUCGCUUCUCGUGUUCUCAAGACUUGCAUUUCGUAUUCUAGUGGUGUUACUGCCGCUAUUCUUCUCUCUGAACUUUCUCAGGUUAUGCUAUUGAUAAUCAUGGAAGGAAUAUGAAGUACAAGAUACACUAUUAACGUAUGAUCGUAUGGAGUAUAUACUUAUAAAUGAUUCAAUAAGCUACCACUUGUAAAUUCUAGAAAUUAUUUUGUAAAUUUCAAUAAUUAAUAUAUAUGUUGGUUUGUUUAAUUAUAUA
Chenopodium quinoa (quinoa) is the source of this 445-nucleotide long non-coding RNA. RefSeq lists it as uncharacterized. The record is from RefSeq and is a predicted model, not a curated record. NCBI's taxonomy places the organism in Eukaryota, Viridiplantae, Streptophyta, Magnoliopsida, Caryophyllales, Amaranthaceae. The transcript has 2 exons.